CACGUAUUUAGCCGGUGCUUCUUAGUCAGGUACCGUCAUUUUCUUCCCUGCUGAUAGAGCUUUACAUACCGAAAUACUUCUUCGCUCACGCGGCGUCGCUGCAUCAGGGUUCCCCCCAUUGUGCAAUAUUCCCCACUGCUGCCUCCCGUAGGAGUUUGGGCCGUGUCUCAGUCCCAAUGUGGCCGUCCACCCUCUCAGGCCGGCUACUGAUCGUCGCUUUGGUAGGCCGUUACCCUGCCAACUGGCUAAUCAGACGCGGGUCCAUCCCAUACCACCGGAGUUUUUCACACAGCAACAUGCGUUGCCGUGCGCUUAUGCGGUAUUAGCAGUCAUUUCUAACUGUUAUCCCCCUGUAUGGGGCAGGUUGCCCACGCGUUACUCACCCGUCCGCCACUCAGUCACUAUACUCUUUUUCCGAAGAAUCCAACUAUAGCGCUUCGUUCGACUUGCAUGUGUUAGGCACGCCGCCAGCGUUCAUCCUGAGCCAGGAUCAAACU
RNAcentral lists this ribosomal RNA (497 nucleotides) under uncultured Roseburia sp. RNAcentral describes it as "partial 16S ribosomal RNA". Lineage: Bacteria; Bacillati; Bacillota; Clostridia; Lachnospirales; Lachnospiraceae. The record is from RNAcentral.